RNAcentral lists this long non-coding RNA (2484 nucleotides) under Daucus carota (carrot). RNAcentral's name for it is "long non-coding RNA (DCAR_LNC005157)". Lineage: Eukaryota; Viridiplantae; Streptophyta; Magnoliopsida; Apiales; Apiaceae. The record is from RNAcentral.
CGCAACGGUUCAUCACAAAAAUCAACUUGGACAGUUGAGUUUGUAUCCGAUAAACGAAACAAGAUCCGUCUAAAAAGCUGCCACGGAUUGUACCUUACCGCGACUGCUGAGCCAUUCCUUCUCGGCAUGACUGGGAAAAAGGUCAUACAAAACCUCCCGGCCACAAAAUUGGACGCUUCUGUCGAAUGGGAGCCUAUAAAAGAAGGAACAUAUGUGAAACUUAAAACAAACGAUGCCAACUUUUUGAGAGCCAAUUGGGGCACACCCCCAUGGAGAAACUCUGUAACACAUGACAUCCCACAUAGAAGUGCAACACAAGAUUGGAUUCUAUGGGAAGUUGAGGUACUAGACUUUCGAGCAAUGCCUGUGGAGUACGAUACUUUACUUACUUUCUCCCCGAGUUUCUCCCCCGCAGUUCACAUGCUUUCACCAUAUCCCGGUCCACCUGUGGUCCUCUUUAAGCACGAAUACUCCCCCGUAAAAAUGCUGGUACGUUUUCUUGAUUCUGUCCCCCUGCUUUUUGUAGUGCAUUGCGAGAAGAUAAUCUUUUUACUGUGUUUAAUACAAUGUGCAUUGCACGAGAUACUAUUUACAGCAAUGCGGUUUAUUACAAAGGCUAUUCACACAGGCUACACAAAAGAAUUAUUCAUUGGACCACGCUUGGACAUUUAUCAACGUCCCUUUAUAACGAACAUUAACAUUGUCUCGCAGCAAAUAAUCGAUCAUAUGUGUUCUUGAAUUUCGAAUCUGGCCUCACCCCUUCUGCAAAUUUCAAUCCUGUUCGGAAACUCUAAAUCCAGGAUCAGAAAAGGAAAAAUAAUUUCCACGAUGCUUCUUACAUCCUUAAUUCUAUUUGAUUGUGUUUGAUUUACAUUCUGCAGAGCAGUGGAAUGGAAUUUUUCACGAAAGCGAAAACGGUUCGCCUGAAAAGCCACCAUAACAAAUACCUACGAGCUGAUCAUGACAAGGAAAAUGUAUUCCAAAAUCGUCGAGGAUCAACAAAGACUGCGUUAUGGAUUGUCGAGUUUGUGCAAGAUGUUGAUACUGUGGUUCGGUUAAGAAGCAUUUUUGGGAGAUAUCUAACGGCUACCGAUCAAGAAAAGAUCCUAGGCCUCACGGGCCGGAAAGUUCUUCAAACUGUGCCUGCAAGAUUGGAUUCCUCCGUUGAAUGGGAGCCUAUUCGAGAAGGCUCAAAAGUGAAGCUUAAAACAAGAUACGGUAAUUUUCUAAGAGCAAAUGGGGGAUUACCCCCUUGGAGAAAUUCUAUCACGCAUGACAUUCCACAUGUGCAUAAUGGUUGGAUCCUGUGGGAUGUUGAUGUUGUUGAGAGACAGCCUGAUACUCCUAAAAAGGUUGAAAGAUCUGAAACUCCGGAGGUGGACGAGCCCUCUUCUUCCGUUCAUCUUCAAUCUCCUCCAUCCUCCGCGGAUGAGGUCUGUUUAAUAUUUUAAAUAUCUGUAUUCACGUACAUUGUCCUCGUAUAAUGUUAAUGCAUGGCCUGCAUUCUCCAGAGGUGAUUAAAAGAUGUUGUAGAUUUUGAUNGAGGGAGGCGUCAGAGGAGUGGGAGCCUAUAAGGGAAGGUAACACUCAUGUGAAGCUGAGGAGUAAAGAUGGGGGAAUGUAUUUGAGAGCUAAUGGAGGCACGCCUCCUUGGAGGAACUCUGUCACGCAUGAUUUUCCGUAUACAAGUGCGACGCAAGGUUGGGUUCUGUGGGCUGUUGAAGCUAUUGAUGUUUCUGAGUUUUCGGAUUCUGAUCAUUCUUUCAAUAGUUUGGACUCCAGUGAACCAUCUGUUGAUGCACAUUCUCCGUAUGGAGCUCAGGUACAUAGUUACAGAUUUUAUUUUUAAUUCAAUUCGUCUGUUAGAAUAGUAUAAUAUGAUCCUGGUAAACCUUCUUCCCAAUACCUCGAGGUUUGGUAACUUAACAUGGUAUCAGAGUAUGUUACCAUACCAAGACAACUAAACUCUAGUGAAUACUAACCUUGCGCUUUUAUCAGCUGCUGGUUCAGAAUGGGGCGAAAUUCAACGCUCUGGCGCUUAGUUCACAGAUGUCGCUGCUAAAUGCAUCUUGGAUACAGCCGGUAAAUUAGACAAACCAACUCCUUAAAAAAUUUCAUAACACUGUACGAGAGUAUUAGUUAACAAAACAUACAUAUUUCAGUAACAUAAUUAUAAAUGCAGAACGGGAUGGAAUAUUUCGUGAAAGCAAAGGCAGUGAGGCUUCGAAACCGUCACGGCAAAUAUCUAGUAGCCGAUGAUGAUCAAUCAAGCAUUCGUCAGAGCCGCAACGGUUCAUCACAAAAAUCAACUUGGACAGUUGAGUUUGUAUCCGAUAAACGAAACAAGAUCCGUCUAAAAAGCUGCCACGGAUUGUACCUUACCGCGACUGCUGAGCCAUUCCUUCUCGGCAUGACUGGGAAAAAGGUCAUACAAAACCUCCCGGCCACAAAAUUGGACGCUUCUGUCGAAUGGGAGCCUAUAAA